AGGGGGUGCCUUUCAGGCAUCCUCUCCUAAAACUUUCAGGCCGGCCCAAUGGGUCGGCCAUUUUUUUGCAUGAU
This 74-nucleotide small RNA is filed under the name Sphingobium sp. EP60837. RNAcentral describes it as "Makes More Granules Regulator RNA (mmgR)". It matches the Rfam family "Makes More Granules Regulator RNA (mmgR)". Rfam says of the family: SuhB later renamed mmgR (makes more granules regulator) was a putative non-coding RNA found multiple times in the Agrobacterium tumefaciens genome and related alpha-proteobacteria. Other non-coding RNAs uncovered in the same analysis include: speF, ybhL, metA, and serC. The record is from Rfam by way of RNAcentral. Lineage: Bacteria; Pseudomonadati; Pseudomonadota; Alphaproteobacteria; Sphingomonadales; Sphingobiaceae.